RNAcentral lists this ribosomal RNA (1372 nucleotides) under uncultured bacterium. RNAcentral's name for it is "bacterial SSU rRNA". It matches the Rfam family "Bacterial small subunit ribosomal RNA", at positions 28 to 1381 of the family's 1533-position model. The record is from RNAcentral.
GAUGAACGCUGGCGGCGUGCCUAAUACAUGCAAGUCGAGCGAACGGACGAGAAGCUUGCUUCUCUGAUGUUAGCGGCGGACGGGUGAGUAACACGUGGAUAACCUACCUAUAAGACUGGGAUAACUUCGGGAAACCGGAGCUAAUACCGGAUAAUAUUUUGAACCGCAUGGUUCAAAAGUGAAAGACGGUCUUGCUGUCACUUAUAGAUGGAUCCGCGCUGCAUUAGCUAGUUGGUAAGGUAACGGCUUACCAAGGCAACGAUGCAUAGCCGACCUGAGAGGGUGAUCGGCCACACUGGAACUGAGACACGGUCCAGACUCCUACGGGAGGCAGCAGUAGGGAAUCUUCCGCAAUGGGCGAAAGCCUGACGGAGCAACGCCGCGUGAGUGAUGAAGGUCUUCGGAUCGUAAAACUCUGUUAUUAGGGAAGAACAUAUGUGUAAGUAACUGUGCACAUCUUGACGGUACCUAAUCAGAAAGCCACGGCUAACUACGUGCCAGCAGCCGCGGUAAUACGUAGGUGGCAAGCGUUAUCCGGAAUUAUUGGGCGUAAAGCGCGCGUAGGCGGUUUUUUAAGUCUGAUGUGAAAGCCCACGGCUCAACCGUGGAGGGUCAUUGGAAACUGGAAAACUUGAGUGCAGAAGAGGAAAGUGGAAUUCCAUGUGUAGCGGUGAAAUGCGCAGAGAUAUGGAGGAACACCAGUGGCGAAGGCGACUUUCUGGUCUGUAACUGACGCUGAUGUGCGAAAGCGUGGGGAUCAAACAGGAUUAGAUACCCUGGUAGUCCACGCCGUAAACGAUGAGUGCUAAGUGUUAGGGGGUUUCCGCCCCUUAGUGCUGCAGCUAACGCAUUAAGCACUCCGCCUGGGGAGUACGACCGCAAGGUUGAAACUCAAAGGAAUUGACGGGGACCCGCACAAGCGGUGGAGCAUGUGGUUUAAUUCGAAGCAACGCGAAGAACCUUACCAAAUCUUGACAUCCUUUGACAACUCUAGAGAUAGAGCCUUCCCCUUCGGGGGGCAAAGUGACAGGUUGUGCAUGGUUGUCGUCAGCUCGUGUCGUGAGAUGUUGGGUUAAGUCCCGCAACGAGCGCAACCCUUAAGCUUAGUUGCCAUCAUUAAGUUGGGCACUCUAAGUUGACUGCCGGUGACAAACCGGAGGAAGGUGGGGAUGACGUCAAAUCAUCAUGCCCCUUAUGAUUUGGGCUACACACGUGCUACAAUGGACAAUACAAAGGGCAGCGAAACCGCGAGGUCAAGCAAAUCCCAUAAAGUUGUUCUCAGUUCGGAUUGUAGUCUGCAACUCGACUACAUGAAGCUGGAAUCGCUAGUAAUCGUAGAUCAGCAUGCUACGGUGAAUACGUUCCCGGGUCU